UACGAGAGGCCCAAACGUUCUUCGGAUUUACUGGGCUUAAAGAGUUCGUAGGCGGCGCAGAAAGUAGGGUGUGAAAGCCCUCGGCUCAACCGAGGAAUUGCGCUCUAAACUACUGUGCUUGAGGAAGCUAGAGGUGAGCGGAACUGAUGGUGGAGCGGUGAAAUGCGUUGAUAUCAUCAGGAACACCGGAGGCGAAGGCGGCUCACUGGGGCUUAUCUGACGCUGAGGAACGAAAGCCAGGGGAGCGAACGGG
This 253-nucleotide ribosomal RNA is filed under the name uncultured bacterium. RNAcentral's name for it is "partial 16S ribosomal RNA". It matches the Rfam family "Bacterial small subunit ribosomal RNA", at positions 524 to 776 of the family's 1533-position model. The record is from RNAcentral.